Molecule: ribosomal RNA, 375 nt
Filed under: Microbacterium sp. 4CBAG5
Lineage: Bacteria; Bacillati; Actinomycetota; Actinomycetes; Micrococcales; Microbacteriaceae
Description: bacterial SSU rRNA
Rfam family: Bacterial small subunit ribosomal RNA
Source: RNAcentral
AUGCAGCACGCCGCGUGAGGGAUGACGGCCUUCGGGUUGUAAACCUCUUUUAGCAGGGAAGAAGCGAAAGUGACGGUACCUGCAGAAAAAGCGCCGGCUAACUACGUGCCAGCAGCCGCGGUAAUACGUAGGGCGCAAGCGUUAUCCGGAAUUAUUGGGCGUAAAGAGCUCGUAGGCGGUUUGUCGCGUCUGCUGUGAAAUCCGGAGGCUCAACCUCCGGCCUGCAGUGGGUACGGGCAGACUAGAGUGCGGUAGGGGAGAUUGGAAUUCCUGGUGUAGCGGUGGAAUGCGCAGAUAUCAGGAGGAACACCGAUGGCGAAGGCAGAUCUCUGGGCCGUAACUGACGCUGAGGAGCGAAAGGGUGGGGAGCAAACA